CCUCUUGUCUUGCCCUUUCUCCUUGCCUCCAUUCAGACAGUGAAGUCGUCAGUGGUUGGUACGUGUGUGCUAGGAACAAGAAGACUUCUAAUGAUAAAAAGGUUUGUCUGCUGAUGAAAAUUUAACAUUUUGCAAACAGAGAAACAAAGAAAAAGGCUUUUUAUUGUGAAGUUGAAAAAAAUAGAAGAAUGUGGCACCUUGUACAAGAACAUCUUAUUAACAGGAUCCUGUUGGGGAAGCCCUUCCUGCAGAUCCUGAUUCCUUCCAGUACACCGUUACAGCGCAGCUGGUGCAUCACCAGAGGGUUCUCCAUGGCCCCAGGAGUCUUGGUCUCAUUGGGGAUGAUGCAGCGUACAAAGUGAGGGCCUACAUCUAUUCCAGGAAAGCACCUGUCUUUCCAUUUAAGAUGCCAUUCCCAGCUGUCUGCAGUCUUUGAGUCUGUGACUUUUACCAUCACAUGAACACACCAGGGAAGGCUAUGGACUUCAGCGUAGACAAUCCAGAGUGCUGCUAGUCUUCUGAUGACUCUAUGACCAGGACAAAAUGAAAUAAUGGCAAGGAUCCUGUUGGGGAAGCCCUUUCUGCAAAUCCUGAUUCCUUCCAGUACACCGUUACAGCGCAACUGGUGCAUCACCAGAGGGUUCUCCAUGGCCCCAGGAGUCUUGGUCUCAUUGGGGAUGAUGCAGCGUACAAAGUGAGGCUGUCUAAAACCCCAGGGAAAUCUUCAUCUGUUCUGCGCCCCCUUUCUGGCUCUCAUCCUGUUAUCCUUGUAUGACUCCUCUAAGGUAUCAAAAUCAUUUGAAGGACAGGGCUUUUUGAGGUCAGCAUUUGGUGCCAGAUGAGUGUCAAACUAGCAGCCACCCUUCUCCUGACUCCUACUGACAGCAAACGAGAGCAUGCUUCAGUUCCCAUCUGUGCUACUGCAGAGACAUGAGUUACUCUGAAGACAAAGGGGACUAUAGCACAGAAGAUCUCAAAGGUCUUGGGUGGCCAUCUGUGAGUUUCACUCCUCAUCUAGCCCUUUCUGUGAUGGAGAAUGACAAGAAAAUAGACAACGAGAGACGGAUUAGAGAGAGACGACCAACAAUUGUUACACAAGAUUGUACAAUUACAACUACAACUGAAUUGUGUGGUAAAUUAUUAGUACUCCGGUUUUUCAUGCAUGAUUUCUAAAUGGAAAUGAAUUAUGCUCUAUUCUACCAUGGAUCUAUUCAAAUAUCCUUUUAAAAUGGAAAUGGAGUUUCAUGCCUUUUGGCACCUUGAAUACUGAUCCCAAGCCUGAAUUCCAUGGACACCAUUUAGCGUUUUUCAAUAUAUUUGUCCUGUGAAAUAAAGGUUAACAAAAUAUAGGUGAGUAUACCAACACAGCCACUACACUAACGUGCUCAGCUCCUUGCAUGAGAACUUUUAAUACAGCAUUGGAGCUGUCUGCAUUACAAACAACAUAAAUUACAUAUGGCAACAAUUGUUUGACACCUCGAUUUGGAACGGCAUGUGCAGACACUGUUUAAUGGUUUCUCCAAACAUUUAGGGACGCCCACAUGGCCUAGAAGAUUUUUGAUAUUGCAGGCUACGUAAUAUUUCCCUCUUUAAUUUUUAACAGCUAUUCAACUCUAAUUAAUAUAUAAUUAGCCCUGAAAAUACUAGCAAAAAGUGCAUUAACACUAACAUCUGAAAUUACUCUAAACUCAACAACUCAACCAACACAUAAAAAACUCUAAAUAAAACUGAUUUGUUCAAA
Mugil cephalus (flathead mullet) is the source of this 1741-nucleotide long non-coding RNA. RefSeq lists it as uncharacterized. The transcript has 9 exons. Lineage: Eukaryota; Metazoa; Chordata; Actinopteri; Mugiliformes; Mugilidae. The record is from RefSeq and is a predicted model, not a curated record.